GGAUGUAAAGAUCAUCUGGCUGCUAAAUAUGUCACCUGGUUGAUGGAUUGCUAGAGUUGGUUUGGCUCAUCUGGCCUGCUAUGUAGGUGUCUCCUUUCUCCCUUAGUGUUUCAUAUGUGUCCCUCCUGAAGCUGUGUACUCAGGUGAAGAAAAGAGCCUCUCCUGGAUAGAAUGACCAUUCAGUUGAAGGUAUGUCAGUAGCUGCACUUCCAUAAUAAGACCUCCAAAGCAUCGCUUAUGAUUAACUUCAGAUGGGAUCAUAACCAGAAAGCUUAACAAGCAAAGUAUUUUCACUGU
RNAcentral lists this small nuclear RNA (297 nucleotides) under Meriones unguiculatus (Mongolian gerbil). RNAcentral's name for it is "7SK RNA (ENSMUGG00000018947.1)". It matches the Rfam family "7SK RNA". Rfam says of the family: 7SK was discovered as an abundant small nuclear RNA in the mid-70s but a possible function has only recently been suggested. Two independent studies have found that 7SK RNA binds the CDK9/cyclin T complex (known as elongation factor P-TEFb). P-TEFb activates transcription by phosphorylating the C-terminal domain of RNA polymerase II. Lineage: Eukaryota; Metazoa; Chordata; Mammalia; Rodentia; Muridae. The record is from RNAcentral.